This 253-nucleotide ribosomal RNA is filed under the name uncultured bacterium. Its description in RNAcentral is "partial 16S ribosomal RNA". It matches the Rfam family "Bacterial small subunit ribosomal RNA", at positions 524 to 776 of the family's 1533-position model. The record is from RNAcentral.
UACAGAGGUCUCAAGCGUUGUUCGGAUUCAUUGGGCGUAAAGGGUGCGUAGGUGGCGUGGUAAGUCGGGUGUGAAAUUUCGGAGCUUAACUCCGAAACUGCAUUCGAUACUGCUGUGCUUGAGGACUGGAGAGGAGACUGGAAUUUACGGUGUAGCAGUGAAAUGCGUAGAGAUCGUAAGGAAGACCAGUGGCGAAGGCGGGUCUCUGGACAGUUCCUGGCACUGAGGCACGAAGGCCAGGGGAGCAAACGGG